ACUCGCGGCAUCACUUGUCGUCCCCUCGUCUAAACACGCGCGCACUCCGGCGCGUCGCACGUGUGCGCUGCUGCUGAGAAAACUCACCUUUUUUUUCUGUAAGUUGAGCGCUCAGCUCUUCUUCACCGUCUCGUCUCACCUGUGCUCGCGUGCGCCUGCCUCUUCGCCGUUGUCCCUCCCCUCACGUUGUCGUCCGUCCCACUAUCUUCGCCCAAACUCGCCCAUGUCCCUCUCAGAGGUGCAGCGCCUGCAAGAUUUGGUGUAUCACCAACCCAACAAGGAAAACUACGAAACCCUCGUGUUGGAGCAGAUGCUCAUGGUGGAGCGACAGCUGGACGUCAAAACAAAGGCUGAGGAGCGCGCCAUGGCGGCGAGGCGGGAGGCAGAACAGCUGCGAGGUGAGAUCGAGGAGCUGCGCCGCGAGACUGCCUCGGCGCCCGCCACCUUCUCUGCGGUGGAGCGAGAGGACUACUAUGUGACAUGGACGGCGCUCCUGAAGGAGUUUUGCAUGCGCAAGGAGAUUCUUUCCUUUCUGCUGUCGUACCCUGCCGAAGACUUCAAGCUGGUCGAACUAACCACUGUCUCCCACUGGCUCGACACCUGGACCACGUUCUUCGCGUCCGCCGAGUCGUCGGUGCGGAACUUGAAAAGGCUCGAGCGGGAAUCGGCGAACGGCAACACACUGCCCCCGACUCGACCCCUCUACGACGCAUUGGAUGAGGUGUGCCGCCUGCAGCUGCAGGCUCGCACGCUUGUUGGCCGUGAGCGCUACCGCCGCAGCUCUUCGAGCGAGGAGUUCGUGAGGGACUUCAUGGAUAGCCAGCAGCAGCUGUGGGAGUGGUGCCGCAAGCAGCGCGAUACACUGGCGGCAUUGAAGACGCUGGGGGACCUCAUCGAGUUCAACAACUCCUUCUACGCAAACGUGCCGGUGAUGGACAGCAACUUUCUGGUUCUGAUGGAGCAGAGCGAGGCUCUCAUGAGCAACGUUCGGGUGCAAGACGCUCUUCGGGAGGUGAACCGAGAGUGGGUCAUGCUGACGCUCGAGACCUACGGCAAGCUGCAGGCCGCCUGCACCCGGGAGCACGGGAGUAGCUCGCUGGAGAGGCAGUGUGCGAAGUGGAUCCAAUUUAUGUCUCCGAGGCUUCGUCGUCUUCUUGUGUCCGCACAGGGCACCCUUGCACAGGACAGCGAUGUACCGGAGGCGAAGCUGCUUGUGACGACGUGCGAGCAACUUCUCAAGGAGCAUGAGGCGCACGACAUCGUGUGCACGCACCUGAGCGACUAUACGGUGCGCGAGGAGUGCGUGCGACCCCACUUGGACGCCUUGAAGGCGGAGCUGCAGUCGUCACUCACGACGACAGUGCUGACCUUCCCGCUCGCUGACACCGCGGGUGGGCAGGCGGACUACAAGAGUCGUGUCGAGGAGCUGCAGGAGUGGAUCGACGUGAAGUCGCAGAAGGGCACGUACGUGAAGCUGCUGGAGCGCUUAGAGUUGACCAAAGCCAUGAUCGAGGAGCACGCGGAUGUACUGUUCCCCGAGGAUAGUCCGUAGGGGUUCACCACACUGCAGGCGGGAUGGCGAUGCGAAUGUUCCGGUGGAAGCGAGAGUAGGAACAGGGAGGCCUUGAGAGGUGGAGAGGUAGCGUAUGUGGUGGUGGUGGGGAAGAGAGGCGGGCACUUGUGCGACCUCCAACAGCACGGCCGUUUUUCUAUCUUCCGGUUUCUCGGCUUUUAUGCCUUCUGCGCAUAUGCACUGUACCUUGCCGGGCCCCUCCGCCUCUCAGAGAGCCCCUCAGCGCCUCGCUCUUCAUCCGCCCUCGCCCUGGGCAUCGGGUUAUAGAGUCGUUUCGAGUAGUUGCGCUUUCUAUAUAUAUUAUCCGUUCUCCGCAACUGCUCUGUCAUGUUGUGCGGGCGAGACACGUUAGUGCUUCCAGGCGUUACAGCCAAGAGGUCACCGCGGUGCAUGUCACAGAGCAGCGAAGCAGCCGGCCGACGUCUUUACUCUUCCACCGCUUCGUCGAGCUCGCUCAGUGCCUGUGUAGGCUUGUGCACGUCAGAGACCACCGAAUCGCUCUCCCAACUAAAAUGCAGAGCAAAGGACACAGACAUGGGGGAAACGGAUUGCUAUCGCGACAUGGCCGAACACGUGGGCGCGCGAAGGCUUCAGUGUGCGCUCACACGCUCAUGCAGUGCAUGGCACAAGCGCAUGGUUUCGCACACGAAUCGCGUGCUGCUUUUUUUGGUUCGCGCCUGUACGCGUGCAUGCGGGCGCGCUUUACAUUCCUUCCUCUACAAGCACUGGGAGGGGGACCCCGACACGGUCGCGACGACAGGUGCUGCAUACCGACUGUGCCGCGCUUCUAAGCAUUCUCUGGCGCUACACUCUCUCCCUAGCCUCGCGCCCACUCCUGGACGAUGGCACUUGCGCUUGUACGCUGUUUCUGCGUGCAUCUCUCUCUCUCUGCAUCCUUCACUUCUCCCCUGCAG
RNAcentral lists this unclassified non-coding RNA (2487 nucleotides) under Leishmania donovani. RNAcentral describes it as "gene:LdHU3.26.3150(CDS-product:hypothetical_prote in_conserved)". Lineage: Eukaryota; Euglenozoa; Kinetoplastea; Trypanosomatida; Trypanosomatidae. The record is from RNAcentral.